GGAAUAUAUCUCAGUUGGUAGAUUGCUUGCCUUGUAUGCACAAGAUCCUGGGUUCAAUCCCCAGCACCA
This 69-nucleotide transfer RNA is filed under the name Marmota monax (woodchuck). RNAcentral's name for it is "tRNA.Thr". The record is from RNAcentral. Lineage: Eukaryota; Metazoa; Chordata; Mammalia; Rodentia; Sciuridae.